RNAcentral lists this unclassified non-coding RNA (503 nucleotides) under Hevea brasiliensis (rubber tree). The record is from RNAcentral. Lineage: Eukaryota; Viridiplantae; Streptophyta; Magnoliopsida; Malpighiales; Euphorbiaceae.
GCUGGGUUGCUCUGGUUCAUUCUCUGAUAAAUGGGGGAAAGAUCAGCUCAAUUCAAUAUCAACACAAACUGCUUCUUAUUAUCUGUGUUUGUUUUUUAUUCUUUCUUUUUUUUGAGUAGGUGGGUGGGGGGUAUGCAUCCUUUGGGGCAUGUAGGAACAUUUUACCAAAGUAACUGAUGACAGUACCCUGUUCUAUUUUGAAUGUUAAAAUUUUAACAGACUUGCAAAUAAGUUGUUUAAAUGAAGCCUAAGUUGAUAAGUUGGAUCAAGAAAGGAAAUCAAUACCAUGAAGCACAGUUCUGAAACCUAACUACUAACUAUUCUAUUUUAAGCCUUUAAAACCUGUUUUCAAACAUCAUUAUCACAUGAAACCCCAAGGAAUUGCAAUAAAGAAGAGCAAACUUUGCAACUAUAUAUUUUGCACUAAGAUGAUGAGAAGAAAGAAUUAAAGAAAAACAGACUCCACAAUGUUUAAGUUCAAAUAACAGAAUUCGAGAAUCACA